RNAcentral lists this transfer RNA (72 nucleotides) under Jenufa minuta. Its description in RNAcentral is "tRNA-Gly". It matches the Rfam family "tRNA". From Rfam's summary of the family: Transfer RNA (tRNA) molecules are approximately 80 nucleotides in length. Their secondary structure includes four short double-helical elements and three loops (D, anti-codon, and T loops). Lineage: Eukaryota; Viridiplantae; Chlorophyta; Chlorophyceae. The record is from RNAcentral.
GCGGAUAUAGUUCAGUGGUAGAACACCUCCUUGCCAAGGAGGUUGUCGCGCGUUCGAGUCGCGUUAUCCGCU